This 253-nucleotide ribosomal RNA is filed under the name uncultured bacterium. Its description in RNAcentral is "partial 16S ribosomal RNA". It matches the Rfam family "Bacterial small subunit ribosomal RNA", at positions 524 to 776 of the family's 1533-position model. The record is from RNAcentral.
UACGGAGGAUGCAAGCGUUAUCCGGAAUGAUUGGGCGUAAAGCGUCCGCAGGUGGCUGUGUAAGUCUGCUGUUAAAGAGUGAGGCUUAACCUCAUCAAGGCAGUGGAAACUACAUAGCUAGAGUACGGUCGGGGUAGAAGGAAUUCCUGGUGUAGCGGUGAAAUGCGUAGAGAUCAGGAAGAACACCGGUGGCGAAAGCGUUCUGCUAGACCUGUACUGACACUGAGGGACGAAAGCUAGGGGAGCGAAUGGG